RNAcentral lists this ribosomal RNA (272 nucleotides) under uncultured bacterium. RNAcentral's name for it is "partial 16S ribosomal RNA". It matches the Rfam family "Bacterial small subunit ribosomal RNA", at positions 83 to 353 of the family's 1533-position model. The record is from RNAcentral.
CUUUGCUGGCGACCGGCGCACGGGUGAGUAACACGUAUCCAACCUGCCCUUUACUCGGGGGAUAGCCUUUCGAAAGAAAGAUUAAUACCCGAUAGCAUAAUGAUUCCGCAUGGUUUCAUUAUUAAAGGAUUCCGGUAAAGGAUGGGGAUGCGUUCCAUUAGGUUGUUGGUGAGGUAACGGCUCACCAAGCCUUCGAUGGAUAGGGGUUCUGAGAGGAAGGUCCCCCACAUUGGAACUGAGACACGGUCCAAACUCCUACGGGAGGCAGCAUG